AUCUCAUUUAGUUUUUGUGAUACUAGAUAUCCGAUUGACAGCAGAAAAGCCUAAACAUCAUAAAUUUGUUUGACAACCGCAUUGACGGACAUAGAAGAAUCAAAUUUGCAAAUCUUUCACUUCGAUCUAAAGGACAACAAGUAUCAUCUUAAGAAAUUCAAUCAUCCUCCUAUCUACUUAACAUGUAAUGUGCAAUUACAAAAGCUCAAUCCCUAAAUGUGAUGAGAAUAUGGUUGUUCAACCAAUGAUGGGACACUCGAUGGU
Long non-coding RNA from Rhodamnia argentea, 264 nucleotides. RefSeq lists it as uncharacterized. The record is from RefSeq and is a predicted model, not a curated record. Lineage: Eukaryota; Viridiplantae; Streptophyta; Magnoliopsida; Myrtales; Myrtaceae. The transcript is spliced from 3 exons.